GGGCAAUUAACUCAGCUGGGAGAGUGUCAUCUUGACGUGGUGAAAGUCACAGGUUCGAGCCCUGUAUUGCCCACCA
RNAcentral lists this transfer RNA (76 nucleotides) under Clostridiales bacterium. Its description in RNAcentral is "tRNA-Val". It matches the Rfam family "tRNA". From Rfam's summary of the family: Transfer RNA (tRNA) molecules are approximately 80 nucleotides in length. Their secondary structure includes four short double-helical elements and three loops (D, anti-codon, and T loops). The record is from RNAcentral. Lineage: Bacteria; Bacillati; Bacillota; Clostridia; Eubacteriales.